UGCUUGUAUUAAAGCUCAUGGGUAGAACUCCUUGACUCUGGCCCUAUCCAGGCUACUACUGUGACUCUUUUUCCCUUCCUGGUCAGUGUGACAGGUGUUAACAGGAAGACGUGCAAAGUGGGGACUGCUAGUAAGUUCAGUCUUCUCUGUUGCUUGGAGUUCCUUUUCUGUCCUGGUCUUGGUGGGGAAAGCUUCAAGGGAACCUCAAAGGGGAACAGGAAGCUGAAGAGCAGAAAACAAACAAACGCUUGGCGCUUGGCGCACCAGGCAGGACUCUGGUGAGGAAGGUUGGGGGAGAAUCAUCUUAGAGUUUCUUGAGCUCCGUGGCUGUUGUGUCACACCGCCUUGUCCCUGGCACCCUGAUGAUGAACUGAAGCCUUUCCACAGAAUGUUCUGGACAACCCCACCCCCACAGUCACCAGGUCCUGUGCUGCAAACCCUUUGCCAUCUAUCUUUUAUCACCCCUCCAGAAAAUUAUUUAUUAACUGCUUGGCUGUACUUUCUGAA
Molecule: long non-coding RNA, 507 nt
Organism: Zalophus californianus (California sea lion)
Lineage: Eukaryota; Metazoa; Chordata; Mammalia; Carnivora; Otariidae
Exons: 4
Source: RefSeq, a predicted model, not a curated record